UACGUAGGGUGCGAGCGUUAAUCGGAAUUACUGGGCGUAAAGCGUGCGCAGGCGGUUUUGUAAGACAGGUGUGAAAUCCCCGGGCUUAACCUGGGAACUGCACUUGUGACUGCAAGGCUGGAGUACGGCAGAGGGGGAUGGAAUUCCGCGUGUAGCAGUGAAAUGCGUAGAUAUGCGGAGGAACACCGAUGGCGAAGGCAAUCCCCUGGGCCUGUACUGACGCUCAUGCACGAAAGCGUGGGGGGCAAACAGG
Molecule: ribosomal RNA, 253 nt
Filed under: uncultured bacterium
Lineage: Bacteria
Description: partial 16S ribosomal RNA
Rfam family: Bacterial small subunit ribosomal RNA
Source: RNAcentral